This 253-nucleotide ribosomal RNA is filed under the name uncultured bacterium. Its description in RNAcentral is "partial 16S ribosomal RNA". It matches the Rfam family "Bacterial small subunit ribosomal RNA", at positions 524 to 776 of the family's 1533-position model. The record is from RNAcentral.
UACGUAGGAGGCGAGCGUUGUCCGGAGUUACUGGGCGUAAAGGGUGCGCAGGUGGCCGUGCGCGUGGGGAGUGAAAUCGCCUGGCUUAACUGGGCGGGGGCUUUCCAGACGGCGCGGCUUGAGCCACAGAGGGGGGCGUGGAAUUCCGGGUGGAGCGGUGAAAUGCGUAGAUAUCAUUUGGAACGCCAAUGGUGAAAACAGGUAACUGGGGCUGUGCUGACGCUGAGACACGAAAGCCAGGGGAGCGAACGGG